UACCAGCACCCCGAGUGGUCGGGACGAUUAUUGGGCCUAAAGCAUCCGUAGCCGGUUCUGCAAGUCCCCCGUUAAAUCCAGCUGCUCAACAGAUGGGCCGCGGAGGAUACUACAGAGCUAGGAGGCAGGAGAGGCAAGCGGUACUCAGUGGGUAGGGGUAAAAUCCGUUGAUCCAUUGAAGACCACCAGUAGCGAAGGCGGCUUGCCAGAAUGCGCUCGACGGUGAGGGAUGAAAGCUGGGGGAGCAAACCGG
Molecule: ribosomal RNA, 253 nt
Filed under: uncultured bacterium
Lineage: Bacteria
Description: partial 16S ribosomal RNA
Rfam family: Archaeal small subunit ribosomal RNA
Source: RNAcentral